GUGUUGCUGCAUUAUAUCAGUCAUAAUUUAUUUGAUAGUACCUUUUACCUGGAUAACCGUGGUAAUUCUAGAGCUAAUACAUGCUUAAAACCCCGACUCACGAAGGGGUGUAUUUAUUAGAUAAAAAACCAAUGCCCUUCGGGGCUACUUGGUGAAUCAUAAUAACUUAACGAAUCGCAUGGCCUUGCGCCGGCGAUGGUUCAUUCAAAUCUCUGCCCUAUCAACUUUCGAUGGUAGAAUAGAGGUCUACCAUGGUUUCAACGGGUAGACAACUCCGUUGCCCGCUGGAAAUCAAAACACGUACCUGCCUUUGGGUGGGUGCAACGUCGCUGGUUCGGAGGAAGUUCCUUGGGGAACAACUCUGAGGCGAGCUCGUCCCUUGUGACGGCCGCCGCAACGCAUGGCAAGCGACGGGCCUCUCCUGGGGAGAAGUCUUGGUACAUGCUCUUGCCUGGGAUUUAUGCCCGGGUGAUCAAAGAACGGGGAAUUAGGGUUCGAUUCCGGAGAAGGAGCCUGAGAAACGGCUGCUACAUCCAAGGAAGGCAGCAGGCGCGCAAAUUACCCAAUGCCGACACGGCGAGGUAGUGACAAUACAUACUGAUGCAGAGCUCUUUUGGGUUUUGCAAUUGGAAUGAGUACAAU
Molecule: ribosomal RNA, 642 nt
Filed under: Schizoxylon albescens
Lineage: Eukaryota; Fungi; Ascomycota; Lecanoromycetes; Ostropales; Stictidaceae
Description: partial 18S ribosomal RNA
Rfam family: Eukaryotic small subunit ribosomal RNA
Source: RNAcentral